GUUUCCUAAUAGGUCAGUGCCAACCCUUCUAUUACUAAUUACAACAGUUUUCGAUUUCCCAGUUAUAUCUGUACUGUAGUCUCUGUGUUUAUAUACGAGUGCACUUAUAUCUGAAUGUUACUGCCAAGGAUUAAAGAAAAAUGAUGAUUCAAUUUGUUUACGACGCCUGCCCUGGAUUGAAAGUUGAUUAAACUGUAAUUGGAAUUGAGAAUGAUAUUUACUAAUGAAGGUGUAAACACAAUUGGUCAUGGUUACCAAACCAAUGAACAAUGUGCUAAGAGCGUAAAAUUUUGCUGAAGAAUUGCUUAUGCUAUUUGGGAAAAUGAGGAAGAGAGGUGUAUGUAACGAUUCUGCAAUGUGGAUAAGGAUGGUUGUCUGCUAUUUAUAUAUGCUAAUCAAUGAUUCCAUUGUAUGGGUAAU
This 420-nucleotide unclassified non-coding RNA is filed under the name Hevea brasiliensis (rubber tree). Lineage: Eukaryota; Viridiplantae; Streptophyta; Magnoliopsida; Malpighiales; Euphorbiaceae. The record is from RNAcentral.